GGCGUAAAGAGCUCGUAGGCGGUUUGUCGCGUCUGCUGUGAAAGCCCGGGGCUCAACCCCGGGUCUGCAGUGGGUACGGGCAGACUAGAGUGCAGUAGGGGAGACUGGAAUUCCUGGUGUAGCGGUGAAAUGCGCAGAUAUCAGGAGGAACACCGAUGGCGAAGGCAGGUCUCUGGGCUGUUACUGACGCUGAGGAGCGAAAGCAUGGGGAGCGAACAGGAUUAGAUACCCUGGUAGUCCAUGCCGUAAACGUUGGGCACUAGGUGUGGGGGACAUUCCACGUUCUCCGCGCCGUAGCUAACGCAUUAAGUGCCCCGCCUGGGGAGUACGGCCGCAAGGCUAAAACUCAAAGGAAUUGACGGGGGCCCGCACAAGCGGCGGAGCAUGCGGAUUAAUUCGAUGCAACGCGAAGAACCUUACCAAGGCUUGACAUUCACCGGAUCGCCCCAGAGAUGGGGUUUCCCUUCGGGGUCGGUGGACAGGUGGUGCAUGGUUGUCGUCAGCUCGUGUCGUGAGAUGUUGGGUUAAGUCCCGCAACGAGCGCAACCCUCGUUCUAUGUUGCCAGCACGUGAUGGUGGGGACUCAUAGGAGACUGCCGGGGUCAACUCGGAGGAAGGUGGGGAUGACGUCAAAUCAUCAUGCCCCUUAUGUCUUGGGCUUCACGCAUGCUACAAUGGCCGGUACAAAGGGUUGCGAUACUGUGAGGUGGAGCUAAUCCCAAAAAGCCGGUCUCAGUUCGGAUUGAGGUCUGCAACUCGACCUCAUGAAGUCGGAGUCGCUAGUAAUCGCAGAUCAGCAACGCUGCGGUGAAUACGUUCCCGGGCCUUGUACACACCGCCCGUCAAGUCACGAAAGUUGGUAACACCCGAAGCCGGUGGCCUAACCCCUUUGGGGAGGGAGCCGUCGAAG
This 910-nucleotide ribosomal RNA is filed under the name Kocuria salina. RNAcentral's name for it is "bacterial SSU rRNA". It matches the Rfam family "Bacterial small subunit ribosomal RNA", at positions 557 to 1461 of the family's 1533-position model. Lineage: Bacteria; Bacillati; Actinomycetota; Actinomycetes; Micrococcales; Micrococcaceae. The record is from RNAcentral.